UCUUUCUUUUGCUGGCGACCGGCGCACGGGUGAGUAACACGUAUCCAACCUGCCCUUUACUCGGGGAUAGCCUUUCGAAAGAAAGAUUAAUACCCGAUAGUAUAAUGAUUCCGCAUGGUUUCAUUAUUAAAGGAUUCCGGUAAAGGAUGGGGAUGCGUUCCAUUAGGUUGUUGGUGAGGUAACGGCUCACCAAGCCUUCGAUGGAUAGGGGUUCUGAGAGGAAGGUCCCCCACAUUGGAACUGAGACACGGUCCAA
This 256-nucleotide ribosomal RNA is filed under the name uncultured bacterium. Its description in RNAcentral is "partial 16S ribosomal RNA". It matches the Rfam family "Bacterial small subunit ribosomal RNA", at positions 79 to 334 of the family's 1533-position model. The record is from RNAcentral.